RNAcentral lists this ribosomal RNA (572 nucleotides) under Colletotrichum truncatum. RNAcentral describes it as "partial large subunit ribosomal RNA". It matches the Rfam family "Eukaryotic large subunit ribosomal RNA", at positions 71 to 664 of the family's 3401-position model. Lineage: Eukaryota; Fungi; Ascomycota; Sordariomycetes; Glomerellales; Glomerellaceae. The record is from RNAcentral.
AGCCAUGUCAGUACGGCGAGUGAGCGGCAACAGCUCAAUUUGAAAUCUGGCCCUAGGCCCGAGUUGUAAUUUGCAGAGGAUGCUUUUGGCGCGGUGCCUUCCGAGUUCCCUGGAACGGGACGCCAUAGAGGGUGAGAGCCCCGUACGGUUGGACACCAAGUCUUUGUAAAGCUCCUUCGACGAGUCGAGUAGUUUGGGAAUGCUGCUCAAAAUGGGAGGUAUAUUUCUUCUAAAGCUAAAUAUUGGCCAGAGACCGAUAGCGCACAAGUAGAGUGAUCGAAAGAUGAAAAGCACUUUGAAAAGAGGGUUAAACAGCACGUGAAAUUGUUAAAAGGGAAGCGCUUGUGACCAGACUUGCGUCCGGUGAAUCACCCAGCUCUCGCGGCUGGGGCAUUUUGCCGGCUCAGGCCAGCAUCAGCUUGCCGUCGGGGACAAAAGCUUCGGGAACGUAGCUCUCUUCGGGGAGUGUUAUAGCCCGUUGCAUAAUACCCUUCGGUGGGCUGAGGUACGCGCUCCGCAAGGAUGCUGGCGUAAUGGUCAUCAGCGACCCGUCUUGAACAACACGAGACCCA